GAGGGUCUAGCUCAGUGGUAGAGCACAUGCCUAGCAUGCAUGAGGUCCUGAGUUCCAUCCCCAGUACCUCUA
Molecule: transfer RNA, 72 nt
Organism: Camelus ferus (Wild Bactrian camel)
Lineage: Eukaryota; Metazoa; Chordata; Mammalia; Artiodactyla; Camelidae
Rfam family: tRNA
About the family: Transfer RNA (tRNA) molecules are approximately 80 nucleotides in length.
Source: Rfam